Molecule: unclassified non-coding RNA, 70 nt
Filed under: Flavobacterium degerlachei
Lineage: Bacteria; Pseudomonadati; Bacteroidota; Flavobacteriia; Flavobacteriales; Flavobacteriaceae
Description: Flavo-1 RNA
Source: RNAcentral
CAUUAGCCACGAUGGAGCCGAUAUCCUUUGUGAGGAACGAGCAAAGGUAAAGGUGAGAGCGGGAACUAUG